GACGAACGCUGGCGGCGUGCUUAACACAUGCAAGUCGAACGGACAGGCCCUACGUUUGUGGCGUGCUCGAGAGGCGAACGGGGGAGUGAAACGCGAGUAACCCGCCCCUGACAUAGGGAGAACAUUAGGAAACUGGGGCUAAUACCGGGUAGGAGCUCCUGCUGCAUGGGGGGGGAUGGAAAGUUUCGGCGGUUUGGGCUGGACUAGCGGCUUAUCAGCUUGUUGGUGGGGUAGUGGCUGACAAGGUCUUUGACGGGUACCCGGCAUGGGAGGGUGGCCGGCCACCAUGGUACUGCGGUACGGCCCAGACUCCUACGGGCCGCAGCAGUGGGGAAUCUUGCACAAUGGGCGGAAGCCUGAUGCAGCAGCGCCGCGUUCGUGAUGACGGCCUUCGGGUUGUAAACCGCUUUCGCCUGUGACGAAGCGUGCGUGACGGUAAUGGGUAAAAAAGCACCGGCUAACUACGUG
Molecule: ribosomal RNA, 468 nt
Filed under: uncultured bacterium
Lineage: Bacteria
Description: partial 16S ribosomal RNA
Rfam family: Bacterial small subunit ribosomal RNA
Source: RNAcentral